RNAcentral lists this ribosomal RNA (1845 nucleotides) under Escherichia coli. Its description in RNAcentral is "partial 23S ribosomal RNA". It matches the Rfam family "Bacterial large subunit ribosomal RNA", at positions 398 to 2228 of the family's 2925-position model. The record is from RNAcentral. Lineage: Bacteria; Pseudomonadati; Pseudomonadota; Gammaproteobacteria; Enterobacterales; Enterobacteriaceae.
UGUGAGCUCGAUGAGUAGGGCGGGACACGUGGUAUCCUGUCUGAAUAUGGGGGGACCAUCCUCCAAGGCUAAAUACUCCUGACUGACCGAUAGUGAACCAGUACCGUGAGGGAAAGGCGAAAAGAACCCCGGCGAGGGGAGUGAAAAAGAACCUGAAACCGUGUACGUACAAGCAGUGGGAGCCUCUUUUAUGGGGUGACUGCGUACCUUUUGUAUAAUGGGUCAGCGACUUAUAUUCUGUAGCAAGGUUAACCGAAUAGGGGAGCCGAAGGGAAACCGAGUCUUAACUGGGCGUUAAGUUGCAGGGUAUAGACCCGAAACCCGGUGAUCUAGCCAUGGGCAGGUUGAAGGUUGGGUAACACUAACUGGAGGACCGAACCGACUAAUGUUGAAAAAUUAGCGGAUGACUUGUGGCUGGGGGUGAAAGGCCAAUCAAACCGGGAGAUAGCUGGUUCUCCCCGAAAGCUAUUUAGGUAGCGCCUCGUGAAUUCAUCUCCGGGGGUAGAGCACUGUUUCGGCAAGGGGGUCAUCCCGACUUACCAACCCGAUGCAAACUGCGAAUACCGGAGAAUGUUAUCACGGGAGACACACGGCGGGUGCUAACGUCCGUCGUGAAGAGGGAAACAACCCAGACCGCCAGCUAAGGUCCCAAAGUCAUGGUUAAGUGGGAAACGAUGUGGGAAGGCCCAGACAGCCAGGAUGUUGGCUUAGAAGCAGCCAUCAUUUAAAGAAAGCGUAAUAGCUCACUGGUCGAGUCGGCCUGCGCGGAAGAUGUAACGGGGCUAAACCAUGCACCGAAGCUGCGGCAGCGACGCUGAUGCGUUGUUGGGUAGGGGAGCGUUCUGUAAGCCUGUGAAGGUGUGCUGUGAGGCAUGCUGGAGGUAUCAGAAGUGCGAAUGCUGACAUAAGUAACGAUAAAGCGGGUGAAAAGCCCGCUCGCCGGAAGACCAAGGGUUCCUGUCCAACGUUAAUCGGGGCAGGGUGAGUCGACCCCUAAGGCGAGGCCGAAAGGCGUAGUCGAUGGGAAACAGGUUAAUAUUCCUGUACUUGGUGUUACUGCGAAGGGGGGACGGAGAAGGCUAUGUUGGCCGGGCGACGGUUGUCCCGGUUUAAGCGUGUAGGCUGGUUUUCCAGGCAAAUCCGGAAAAUCAAGGCUGAGGCGUGAUGACGAGGCACUACGGUGCUGAAGCAACAAAUGCCCUGCUUCCAGGAAAAGCCUCUAAGCAUCAGGUAACAUCAAAUCGUACCCCAAACCGACACAGGUGGUCAGGUAGAGAAUACCAAGGCGCUUGAGAGAACUCGGGUGAAGGAACUAGGCAAAAUGGUGCCGUAACUUCGGGAGAAGGCACGCUGAUAUGUAGGUGAAGUCCCUCGCGGAUGGAGCUGAAAUCAGUCGAAGAUACCAGCUGGCUGCAACUGUUUAUUAAAAACACAGCACUGUGCAAACACGAAAGUGGACGUAUACGGUGUGACGCCUGCCCGGUGCCGGAAGGUUAAUUGAUGGGGUCAGCGCAAGCGAAGCUCUUGAUCGAAGCCCCGGUAAACGGCGGCCGUAACUAUAACGGUCCUAAGGUAGCGAAAUUCCUUGUCGGGUAAGUUCCGACCUGCACGAAUGGCGUAAUGAUGGCCAGGCUGUCUCCACCCGAGACUCAGUGAAAUUGAACUCGCUGUGAAGAUGCAGUGUACCCGCGGCAAGACGGAAAGACCCCGUGAACCUUUACUAUAGCUUGACACUGAACAUUGAGCCUUGAUGUGUAGGAUAGGUGGGAGGCUUUGAAGUGUGGACGCCAGUCUGCAUGGAGCCGACCUUGAAAUACCACCCUUUAAUGUUUGAUGUUCUAACGU